This 500-nucleotide ribosomal RNA is filed under the name uncultured bacterium. RNAcentral's name for it is "bacterial SSU rRNA". It matches the Rfam family "Bacterial small subunit ribosomal RNA", at positions 10 to 507 of the family's 1533-position model. The record is from RNAcentral.
AGUUUGAUCCUGGCUCAGGAUGAACGCUAGCGGCAGGCCUAAUACAUGCAAGUCGAGGGGCAGCGCGGUAGCAAUACUGGCGGCGACCGGCGCACGGGUGCGUAACACGUAUGCAACCUACCUUCAACUGGAGGAUAGCCCGGGGAAACUCGGAUUAAUACUCCAUAACACAGGGAUCCCGCAUGGGAAUAUUGUUAAAGCUACGGCGGUUGAAGAUGGGCAUGCGUUCGAUUAGCUAGUUGGUGUAGGUAACGGCUCACCAAGGCUACGAUCGAUAGGGGGUCUGAGAGGAUGAUCCCCCACACUGGUACUGAGAUACGGACCAGACUCCUACGGGAGGCAGCAGUAGGGAAUAUUGGUCAAUGGGCGCAAGCCUGAACCAGCCAUGCCGCGUGCAGGAAGAAGGCCCUCUGGGUUGUAAACUGCUUUUGAUAGGGAACAAAUGCCACUUGCGAGUGGAGCUGAGUGUACCUAUAGAAUAAGCACCGGCUAACUCCGUG